RNAcentral lists this ribosomal RNA (309 nucleotides) under uncultured Lactobacillus sp. RNAcentral's name for it is "bacterial SSU rRNA". It matches the Rfam family "Bacterial small subunit ribosomal RNA", at positions 232 to 524 of the family's 1533-position model. The record is from RNAcentral. Lineage: Bacteria; Bacillati; Bacillota; Bacilli; Lactobacillales; Lactobacillaceae.
UGCGAUGCAUUAGCUAGUUGGUAAGGGUAACGGGCUUUACCCAAGGCGAUGAUGCAUAGCCCGAGUUGAGAGACUGAUCGGGCCACAUUGGGACUGAGACACGGACCCAAAACUCCGUACGGGAGGCAGCAGUAGGGAAUCUUCCACAAUGGACGAAAGUCUGAUGGAGCAACGCCGCGUGAGUGAAGUAAGGUUUUCGGAUCGUAAAAGCUCUGUUGUUGGUGAAGAAGGAUAGAGGUAGUAACUGGCCUUUAUUUGACGGUAAUCAACCAGAAGUCACGGCUAACUACGUGCCAGCAGCCGGGUAAU